AGAGCGAACGUUAGCGGCGGGCUUAACACAUGCAAGUCGUACGCGAAAGGGCUUCGGCCCCGGUAGCGUGGCGUCCGGGUGAGUAACACGUAGGGAAUCUACCCUUGAGUGGGGGAUAACGUUCCGAAAGGGACGCUAAUACCGCAUAAGACCACGUCGGCUCCGGCCGAAGCGGUCAAAGAUGGCCUCUGUACACAAGCUAUCGCUCGAGGAUGACUCUGCGGCGCAUCAGCUAGUUGGUGGGGUAAUGGCCCACCAAGGCGAAGACGCGUAGCUGGUCUGAGAGGAUGAUCAGCCACACUGGCACUGAAACACGGGCCAGACUCCUACGGGAGCAGCAGUGGGGAAUAUUGGUCAAUGGGCGCAAGCC
Molecule: ribosomal RNA, 370 nt
Filed under: uncultured soil bacterium
Lineage: Bacteria
Description: bacterial SSU rRNA
Rfam family: Bacterial small subunit ribosomal RNA
Source: RNAcentral